GUCGAUCUGCUCUGGGCCCGGCGAGCAGAAGUCUGGGAUGCGCAGUCGGUGCAGAGUGAGGCCGGGGCAGCUGUCGCUGUGCGGGGGCCCGCGCUCCGUCAGUGACACCAGAUGAGAAAACUGAAGCUCUGGAGAGGUUCAGGAACUUGACCAAGAGAUGACUGAUGGCAGGGGGGUUUGAAACCAAACAGCCUGGCUCCAGAAUCUUUAACAAAACGGAGUUCUCCCUUUGAAUUUUCUUUUUCACAUCUUUAUUGGAGUA
Aethalodelphis obliquidens (Pacific white-sided dolphin) is the source of this 262-nucleotide long non-coding RNA. RefSeq lists it as uncharacterized. The transcript has 3 exons. Lineage: Eukaryota; Metazoa; Chordata; Mammalia; Artiodactyla; Delphinidae. The record is from RefSeq and is a predicted model, not a curated record.